CAAAGGAAUUGACGGGGGCCCGCACAAGCGGUGGAGCAUGUGGUUAAUUCGAAGCAACGCGAAGAACCUUACCAGGUCUUGACAUCCCGAUGCUAUUUCUAGAGAUAGAAAGUUACUUCGGUACAUCGGUGACAGGUGGUGCAUGGUUGUCGUCAGCUCGUGUCGUGAGAUGUUGGGUUAAGUCCCGCAACGAGCGCAACCCCUAUUGUUAGUUGCCAUCAUUCAGUUGGGCACUCUAGCGAGACUGCCGGUAAUAAACCGGAGGAAGGUGGGGAUGACGUCAAAUCAUCAUGCCCCUUAUGACCUGGGCUACACACGUGCUACAAUGGUUGGUACAACGAGUUGCGAGUCGGUGACGGCGAGCUAAUCUCUUAAAGCCAAUCUCAGUUCGGAUUGUAGGCUGCAACUCGCCUACAUGAAGUCGGAAUCGCUAGUAAUCGCGGAUCAGCACGCCCGCGGUCGAAUACGUUCCCGGGCCUU
RNAcentral lists this ribosomal RNA (480 nucleotides) under uncultured Streptococcus sp. RNAcentral's name for it is "bacterial SSU rRNA". It matches the Rfam family "Bacterial small subunit ribosomal RNA", at positions 902 to 1382 of the family's 1533-position model. Lineage: Bacteria; Bacillati; Bacillota; Bacilli; Lactobacillales; Streptococcaceae. The record is from RNAcentral.